RNAcentral lists this ribosomal RNA (1436 nucleotides) under uncultured bacterium. RNAcentral describes it as "bacterial SSU rRNA". It matches the Rfam family "Bacterial small subunit ribosomal RNA". The record is from RNAcentral.
GACGAACGCUGGCGGCACGCUUAACACAUGCAAGUCGAACGAGAGAAGAGAAGCUUGCUUUUCUGAUCUAGUGGCGGACGGGUGAGUAACACGUGAGCAAUCUGCCUUUCAGAGGGGGAUACCGAUUGGAAACGAUCGUUAAUACCGCAUAACAUAAUGGAACCGCAUGAUUUGAUUAUCAAAGAUUUAUCGCUGAAAGAUGAGCUCGCGUCUGAUUAGCUAGUUGGUAAGGUAACGGCUUACCAAGGCGACGAUCAGUAGCCGGACUGAGAGGUUGAUCGGCCACAUUGGGACUGAGACACGGCCCAGACUCCUACGGGAGGCAGCAGUGGGGAAUAUUGCACAAUGGAGGAAACUCUGAUGCAGCGAUGCCGCGUGAGGGAAGAAGGUUUUAGGAUUGUAAACCUCUGUCUUCAGGGACGAAAAAAGACGGUACCUGAGGAGGAAGCUCCGGCUAACUACGUGCCAGCAGCCGCGGUAAUACGUAGGGAGCGAGCGUUGUCCGGAAUUACUGGGUGUAAAGGGAGCGUAGGCGGGAUCGCAAGUCAGAUGUGAAAACUAUGGGCUUAACCCAUAAACUGCAUUUGAAACUGUGGUUCUUGAGUGAAGUAGAGGUAAGCGGGAAUUCCUAGUGUAGCGGUGAAAUGCGUAGAUAUUAGGAGGAACAUCAGUGGCGAAGGCGGCUUACUGGGCUUUAACUGACGCUGAGGCUCGAAAGCGUGGGGAGCAAACAGGAUUAGAUACCCUGGGUAGUCCACGCCGUAAACGAUGAUUACUAGGUGUGGGGGGACUGACCCCUUCCGUGCCGCAGCAAACGCAAUAAGUAAUCCACCUGGGGAGUACGACCGCAAGGUUGAAACUCAAAGGAAUUGACGGGGGCCCGCACAAGCAGUGGAGUAUGUGGAUUAAUUCGAAGCAACGCGAAGAACCUUACCAGGUCUUGACAUCGUAUGCAUAGCUCAGAGAUGAGUGAAAUCUCUUCGGAGACAUAUAGACAGGUGGUGCAUGGUUGUCGUCAGCUCGUGUCGUGAGAUGUUGGGUUAAGUCCCGCAACGAGCGCAACCCUUACUGUUAGUUGCUACGCAAGAGCACUCUAGCAGGACUGCCGUUGACAAAACGGAGGAAGGUGGGGAUGACGUCAAAUCAUCAUGCCCCUUAUGACCUGGGCCUCACACGUACUACAAUGGCUGUCAACAGAGGGAAGCAAAGCCGCGAGGUGGAGCGAACCCCUAAAAGCAGUCUUAGUUCGGAUUGUAGGCUGCAACCCGCCUACAUGAAGUCGGAAUUGCUAGUAAUCGCAGAUCAGCAUGCUGCGGUGAAUACGUUCCCGGGCCUUGUACACACCGCCCGUCACGCCAUGGGAGUCGGUAACACCCGAAGCCUGUAGUCUAACCGCAAGGAGGACGCAGUCGAAGGUGGGAUUGAUGACUGGGGUG